GGACCCUUCGGGGAGCCUAUACAGGUGUUGCAUGGCUGUCGUCAGCUCGUGUCGUGAGAUGUUCGGUUAAGUCCGCUAACGAGCGCAACCCUCGUCGUAUGUUAUAUGUGUCAUACGAGACUGCCGGUAAAAAGCCGGAGGAAGGUGAGGAUGAUGUCAAGUCAGCAUGACCUUUAUAUCCUGGGCUACACACACACUACAAUGGCCAACACAAUAGGUUGCUAAGCCGCGAGGUGGCGCCAAUCCAUAAAGUUGGUCUCAGUUCAGAUUGUAGGCUGCAACCCGCCUGCAUGAAGAUGGAGUUGCUAGUAACCGCAGGUCAGCUAUACUGCGGUGAAUACGUUCCCGGGGCUU
Molecule: ribosomal RNA, 354 nt
Filed under: uncultured Leptolinea sp.
Lineage: Bacteria; Bacillati; Chloroflexota; Anaerolineae; Anaerolineales; Anaerolineaceae
Description: bacterial SSU rRNA
Rfam family: Bacterial small subunit ribosomal RNA
Source: RNAcentral